Non-coding RNA from Leadbetterella byssophila DSM 17132, 172 nucleotides. Lineage: Bacteria; Pseudomonadati; Bacteroidota; Cytophagia; Cytophagales; Leadbetterellaceae. The record is from Rfam.
UCCACCGUGAGGUGGAAUCUGAAGGAAGUCUGAGGCAAAACCUCGAUCCGACGAACAGAAACUACAUACAAGGCCGCAAGUGUUGGGUGAGGCUGCAAAACAAGCCGAAGCCCUAAACUGUACGGAAACACUAUGGUAAAUGUAGCGGAUAUAUGAGGUGAAAGUUAUUGUU